Molecule: long non-coding RNA, 688 nt
Organism: Felis catus (domestic cat)
Lineage: Eukaryota; Metazoa; Chordata; Mammalia; Carnivora; Felidae
Exons: 3
Source: RefSeq, a predicted model, not a curated record
GGGGAGGGUCAGCAAAGUUUCAGGAAGAAAGUGGCAUUGGAACAGGGCCUUGAAGUGCUGGAAGGGAAUCCAAGCCGAAUAGGUCUAUAGACAAGCUGUUGAAGCAAGGUAGCAGCAUAAAGAUCCGUGCAUUUCGUGACUAUUUUCAUCCUGGGUUCUCAAGUGAACAGCAGCACAGCAGCAAGAGGAAUGACUCAGGCCCUCGGCCAAAUGACUCAAUGAAUUCAGUCACACUGGCCUUCCCAACAGUCUAGAAAUCACAGCACAAUUGCAGGCAAAGCCCAUCCGGUAAUGAAGACCGCUGCCUGUGAAGUAUUUCAAAAUCAUUUCCACAUCCUUCCACCUCUGAUGUCAAUUUCAAGUUCUGUAGCCAAGCUUCAGCUUCUUCCUAUUCGCAUCCUCUCCAAUGCCAGCUCAAGGUGAGAAGAAUCUCUCGCCCACCCAGACACUAGGCUUAUUUGCCUCUAGAGCUUUUUAUCAAGAACACGAUUAUAAUAAAAUGUCCACUGUUAGCUCCCAAAGUUUAAGAUUUCUCUUAAACUUAGCCAAAGAGUCCACUAAGCAACUAUUUUUCUCUUGCUUCAUGCGGUUCUCUUCCCUGCUGCCAUGAGCACUGCUUGCCCUGUGGCCAUGGUUCCCUCCAUAACAUAUAGAGCUUCAGCCCUCACCUGCUUUCCAGGGCACGGAG